GACCUCGGAUCAGGUAGGAAGACCCGCUGAACUUAAGCAUAUCAAUAAGCGGAGGAAAAGAAACCAACAGGGAUUGCCCUAGUAACGGCGAGUGAAGCGGCAACAGCUCAAAUUUGAAAUCUGGCUUCGGCCCGAGUUGUAAUUUGCAGAGGAAGCUUUAGGCGCGGCACCUUCUGAGUCCCCUGGAACGGGGCGCCAUAGAGGGUGAGAGCCCCGUAUAGUUGGAUGCCUAGCCUGUGUAAAGCUCCUUCGACGAGUCGAGUAGUUUGGGAAUGCUGCUCAAAAUGGGAGGUAAAUUUCUUCUAAAGCUAAAUACCGGCCAGAGACCGAUAGCGCACAAGUAGAGUGAUCGAAAGAUGAGAAGCACUUUGAAAAGAGGGUUAAAUAGCACGUGAAAUUGUUGAAAGGGAAGCGCUU
This 417-nucleotide ribosomal RNA is filed under the name Chaetomium sp. Its description in RNAcentral is "LSU rRNA". It matches the Rfam family "Eukaryotic large subunit ribosomal RNA", at positions 1 to 424 of the family's 3401-position model. The record is from RNAcentral. Lineage: Eukaryota; Fungi; Ascomycota; Sordariomycetes; Sordariales; Chaetomiaceae.